Molecule: ribosomal RNA, 398 nt
Filed under: uncultured bacterium
Lineage: Bacteria
Description: partial 16S ribosomal RNA
Rfam family: Bacterial small subunit ribosomal RNA
Source: RNAcentral
AUACGUAGGGUGCGAGCGUUGUCCGGAAUUACUGGGCGUAAAGAGCUCGUAGGUGGUUUGUCGCGUCGUCUGUGAAAUUCCGGGGCUUAACUCCGGGCGUGCAGGCGAUACGGGCAUAACUUGAGUACUGUAGGGGAGACUGGAAUUCCUGGUGUAGCGGUGAAAUGCGCAGUUAUCAGGAGGAACACCGGUGGCCAAGGCGGAGCUCUGGGAAGUAACUGACGUUGAGACUCCAAAGCAGGGGUAGCGAACAGUAUGAUAUACCCUGGUAGUCCAUGCUGAAAACGGUGGGCGCAAGGUGUAGGUGUCUGCCCCGCUUUCUGCUCCUUAGCUAACGCAAUACGCGCCCCGCCUGGGGAGUACGGCCUCAAGGCUGAAACUCAAAGGAAUUGACGUGG